GCUGGGCACGGUGGCACAUGCCUGUAAUCCCAGAGGCUUGGGAGGCUGAGACAGGAGGAUCAUGAGUUCAAAGCCAGCCUCAGCAACAGCCAGGCCCUAAGCAACUCAGUGAGACUCUGUCUCUA
RNAcentral lists this small RNA (125 nucleotides) under Marmota monax (woodchuck). Lineage: Eukaryota; Metazoa; Chordata; Mammalia; Rodentia; Sciuridae. The record is from RNAcentral.